Molecule: non-coding RNA, 12085 nt
Organism: Rattus norvegicus (Norway rat)
Lineage: Eukaryota; Metazoa; Chordata; Mammalia; Rodentia; Muridae
Source: RefSeq, a predicted model, not a curated record
UACUUGCAGGCUGCCUUUUAUUUCUCUUCCUCACAGCUUGGCUCUCCUCUCUACUUCUUAGAAGGUAGGACAUGGUCCUCUUUGCCCCUGAGAGGAGAGACUGAGCCUGAGAACUUGUCAUUGAAGCUCUCAAAGGACAGGGCUGCAUGACAGCAGCAGGAUGGUACCUGGACAGGGAGAAGCAAGAUCUCUGGACCCUGUGUGGCUGAUGAGUGUGAGUCCUCAAGGGUUUCUCUGGCCUUUGAUACUUGGUGACUGGGUGAAAGCACACCAGGAAGAAACCCAAAGCAAUCCUCCCGGUUUUUUCACUCCCCGAGAUCUGGAGUGUAACUCUAUGGGAGCUCACACAGCUCUCCAGGAAGCUCAGUGAAACAAGCACCAGUCUUCUCAUCCCUGCUCUUAGGCCUGGACCCUUUGGUUUUUUGGGCUCAGGGGUCUCCAUGUUUCCAUAGGGAAUCUGGGACAAGGCUUUCCAGACACGACUAGCAUCUUGGGUCUCUGCAAAGACCUCUCUGUGAUCCUGUGAGUGAAUCUUCUCUCAAGCCAGUGAGUAUAUUGUUCUUGGAUUAUGGAUGGGGUCUGCAAGGGGCUCCAGGGCAGGGUGGAUGGUUAGACACUUUGCUCCUUCCCACCUGACCCCAGGAGAACCUAGAUCAUUAGUGUGGAGGCUACAGAGAGAAAAAAUGCUAGCCCAAGGCCCCAUAUGGCAUUUGCUGGCACACAACCUUCUGGCCUGCAGCCAAAGAGUGGCUGCAUCUGACUGAGCAGUGAAAAACGAUCCAAGUGCCAGGCGCUGUUCUAGGACUCAAAUGUGUGCAUGCACACCAUUGAAAGAGCCUGCCGAGCAGUUACCACCAGCUCCACAUCACAGGUGAGGAAAGAAGCAGCUAGCUCCAUGGUUUGGGCACAGCUGAGUGACCCUUCUACCUGUAGGCUGGCAGCAAAGUGUACAAUCUACUCUCUGAAUAUGUCUGAAUAUGUCCAAUGUAGAAGCUCAUCCUGUAUAGCCCCUGAAGAUGCUCAGCCGAAAUAGAUCUCCCUUUUCAGAGGUCCCGGAGCAACAGCCUAAGUUGAGCUCUUAUGCUGGACAGUGCUACCUGGGUCUGCUUGCUUGGUCCCAUGAUGCCCCUUUGAAGACUUGGAAAAGACAAUCACAAGGCAAUACAUGUAUACUCCCAAUCGUGGUGAGCUGCCAUGUGGGUGCUGGGAACUAAACCUAACCUAGCUCUCUUGCAAGAGUAGCAAGUGCUGUUAACCACCCAGCUAUCUCUAGGGCCCCUUGUUCCACUUUUUAAGCUUCAUAGCGUUUGGAAAUAUUCAGCCUAUUUCAUAGAUGAGACGAUGAGAUUUGGAGAACUUACUCUGCUUUAAAAGCUCCAUUUUAGCUUCCGGGGCCAGCUCUGGGUCACCAGCUCUUUCUGUUCUAUAGCUCCGAGCUCUUGAUAUCUGAGUACAAACAGGUGUGGGCCUAUCCCUUAGCACCUCACCUCACUGGCCAUCUCCCUCUUUCCCCCUGAACUAUAUAUGGCUCCUGUCAAGUUCCCUUGGGAUACCUUCCCGGAAGCACUGACGGAUUCUGUUGGUCUGGAGAAAAGCAGUAGUUUCCUCUUGUGAUCUGGAGGCUUGUAGGAAGUGAGCCAGGCUGAGGGAGGCCAGCCUGGCUCCAUUGGGGUCUGUUGAGCAACCCAUGGGUCCAGACUCACAUCCCUAGGACGUUGCUAGUCUCUUCCUUUGCUCUCAAUCCACAGGUGGGUGGACACUACCUUUCUGGGGGCUGACAUAUCAUAGGAACUCAUACUUCCUCAGAGUGGCUCAGACCCCAGCAUUAACUGCUCCUUAGGCCUGCCUCCUCCUCCCAUUGGCCCACAUCCCUGGUUCAUGUUCAAGGCUAAUUCUUGGCCUCUUCUUCCUCGGUAGGGUCCAAGUGAGGGGUGGAGUCACUAAUACAACAGCUAGUCAACUCCCCAGCCCACGGCCUACUCUUCCUAUUGCUUAUGCCAUGCAAUCUCUAUCAUUUAUCAAGCUUUCCUGGGGCUCCUCCCUUCAUUCAAAGCAAAACAUUGAGCACCCAGAAGGCCUGUGUGCCUUGCCUUUCAGGACCAUCUCUUGCUUUUCCUUCAUUGACUUAGUUCCGGCAUGCAGGUCUAUUUACUGUUCCUGACCCAGCGUCCUUACACUUGCCAUUUUGUCAGAUGUCUGUCUGGGUUACUCCUUCACCUCAGCGAGCUCUCCUGAGCAGAUGGCUCCUCCACCUAGAAUGACGCCACUUCCUCUCUUUGCAGUUUUCUGCGUGCCCCCUAUUAGUUUUCCAUUGUUUCACUGCAUUAGAAUAUGUGUUCCAUAAAGGCGGAAGUCUUUGUUUAGUGUAUUCAGUAGCACCUGCAGCAAGGCGGGCGCUAGAGAAAUAAGACUGUACCAGCCAGAGACAUGGGUCAUCUAUAUGUGCUCUGCAGGCAAGACUAGGUGGGAUCUCACCUACUGGCUGUGGUGAUUUUUAAUUAAUUUGUACCAUGUCUUACACAUUAUAAAUGCCAAAUAAAUCACUAUUAUAAGGAAGAAACGACAUUUUGUGAUGUGAAAAAAAGAAAAUGCUUAGAAAUAAAAUCAGAUAAAAGUAGGUAUAAAGAGUUGGAACUCUGAUUUUCCCCAUAACUUCCUAAAACUUCUUUUAUAAAUUCUAAAUUGAGCCCAAGAUCUGCCCAUCUGUUUCUGAGGCUCUUUUUUGCCAGUGGCCUUUCCCUGUAUGGAAUCCUGCUUUGGUACAGGACCUGGCUCCCCACUGAUUGCUGUAAACCUUCAUGAAGCAUCCUGGUCCAGGCUUUGUAAGGACGACUGCUCACACAGACGUGCCAGGCAGAGGGUAUCUGCCCUUCCCUCCCACACCUCACAGCCUAAGGGGUCAAGGGCAUAGACUGCAGUGGUCUGUGCCUGGCUGGGGUGCCCUUCCUGUGGGACCACAGGAACAGUUUUAGUUUUUCAGGACUCAGAAAUCGAGCCGGUGAUUAGGCAGCGAGAGCAGUUGGGCUGUGGCCACACAGGAGAUCUGCAUCCAGGCAGGGGCUGAGAGCAGAGCCCUUGCCUCCCAGCCUGAGGUCCUUCAACAUGCUCUUUGGAGCUCCUGCAGGCAGCCUGGGUUCCCCUAGAGAGUGCCAUGGCCUUGACCCUGUGAAGCCUACAGGGCGGUUCAGCACCCCUGGGGCCAUGGAACUCAGGGUUGCUGAGGCCUGCAGGGCUGGCUGGAGGCGUGGGAGUCAGGGCAAAGCCAGUUCUCACUGCGGCCCUCUCUCCAUCUGAGCUCCCUUCUCUCUUGCAACCUUUAUGGGAUCUGAACUCCCAUGCUCCCCCUUGCCCUUUGAGAUGGAGAGUCCUUUCGAAUGUCUUUGGGGAGAACACUGCUUACCUUCUUGGGACAGAAUCUCCCAAGGCUCAAGAGAAACCUGAUCACCAGAGCUAGAGGGGCUGUUGAUGCCUUGUUGUCCUACUGGAGACAAGGAACUAAGAGCAUCCAAGGGAAGGGUCUCAAUUAGUGUUCAGGGCAACCAGGGAACCAGAGUCACGGCAGAUGUGCCUCAAACUCCAGGGUUAUUUGCUGUCUCUGGCUGGUGUCUGGACAUCUACCUCACAUACUUGGUAACAGUACACUUACUGGGUCAGUUCAUUAGUAUUGAGAGCUUCCUGUCUGCCCUUGUUCUCCUGACCCAGAUUCAAGGGUCAAGUCCACAGCCAUAGACCCCUUCCUGUUUUCUCAGUUGGUGCCUUGAGGGACCCCUACUAGCUGGGUCACAGAAGGGACUGCACAUCUCCACAGCACACAAAAGGUCAGAGACAAUGCUUGCUCAUCCUUCUCUCUCAUGUAUUCAUUUUUUUUCCGUUGAGCCUCUGCUAUGCCGUGUGCCAGAAACUGCUCCAGUGACCAAAACACACUGAUGAAAACAAAUAAUGCUGGACCCCAAGGAUUUCAUUGGCCUUGUUUUUGACUCGUUCUCGCCCACAGCAUAGUCUCUUGCAGCUGUGAGGCCCACAGCCAAAAGAGCAAUUGAUCAAGGCAAUAAGGAGACAUCGGAAGCACAAGUUGGGGCAAGAAUGGGUUAAGUUCCAGCCAUACUUUUCUCCACCCAGAAAUUACAGGGGUUCCCUUUGACUCUUGCAGGACUAGAGGCAGAGGAGUCUGUGGGGACAUUAGAACAUCUGGUAGCCAGGCCAGGGCAGGGAGCAAGAAGCACAAAUAGACCCAGGUAUCUUCCUGGUCUGAAGUCCCUGCCUUCAGGUCCUGUUGGUCUGGUCUACCCAUCCCCGCCAAGCCAUUGCCCCCAGACCACCACAAGGCCUUGAUUCCAUCUCCUGCCCUUGCCUCUCGGCCUGACCCUGCUUAUCAAAUUGCAGAGCCCGUUUGGGAGUUAGCUCUCCACAGAAACCCAGGCUGAGGCAAGGGUCUGAGAUGAGAGGUUCAGAUGUGGGAGGAGGAUACAGCUGGGCUGGAUGAAGACUUCUGGCAGGAGAGGAGCUCAGCUCUGGGGAGGUGCCAGAGGAGGUGGGUAGAGGUGAGAUAGCAGAGCAGUGAGCUCAUUGUAUAGGGCAGGAAAUGAAGUGGCUAUAACCUGAGGACCGGAGGUACCACAGGCUCCUGAGUUCUUCCCCAAAUCCCUACCUUGAGCUUUCAAACCCCACUGUUCAGAACAUGCUCGUUUGGAUAUAGAACAGUUUGCUUGUGUUUUUGGCAGUGCUGAAUGGAGGUGGAGCUUGAGAGCUCACACAAGUUAGGCACAUGCUCUAGCUGAGCUAUACCUGAACAUUAACCAGAACUUUAAAGACGUAAUUAAGGUAAAACGAUAUCCCCGGGGAGGCUCUAAGCCAAUGUGCUGGUGUCCUAAUGAGAAGAGGUGAUUGAGGCAGAGAAAAAGAAAAAGGUCAUAUGAAAAAGGAAACACACCCACAAGCCAAGGAGUGAGGUUUCAGAGCACAGCCUACCAAGGCAAUGGUUUUGGACUCCCAGCCAGCUAGAACUAUGAGGAAACACAUUUCUGUUGUGGAAGUAUUCUAACCAGGGUGUUUGUUACAGUGGCCCCAGCUAAGUCAUCUAGGAGUCAGGCUCUUUGAUUAUGAUCCUCUUCCCUGUCCCAGGCAUGCAUGCCUGUGGACCACGAGGAGAGCCAUUAUCCAAGGACUCUGCUGGGAAAAGACAAAUGCUAGGGCCAGAGUCCUGGUUUAUUAUUUCCAUGUGUUUGAGUUCAAUGGAGCCUCUUGUGUCUAUGAGGCACGUCCAGAAGAGAAGGUGACAUUCAUUAUAUGAAAACCAGGCCAGCCUUUGAAGGGAAUGGGUGAGUUGCCUUUGCUUUCAAUAAUGCAGGAGAAAAGCAGAUGUGACAGUGCCAGUACAAGAAGAUGGAUCAGCCAUGGCCCAGCCGCUGUCUUCUUCAUGGCACUUCAAGGAGGGAGGUGACCGUUUUACUCCUUGAGCCAUCAGAAAGCCUAUGAGGAAGAAUUCAUAAACACACAGCUCCUGACUGGGAGGCAUCAUUCAUGAGACUCCUGGAUGUAGCAGGUGCUGAAGGGAGAAACUGACUGUCCAUGGAAUAAUUAUAAGGAUAGCUCACCUUUUCCUUCUCCAGACACUACAGACUCCGUGUUCUAAACAGUGUAGUGUUGUCAUCUUCUUCAAGCCUCAGCAAAGCCCAACGAUGCAACGCUGUUUCUUCCCUUGCUUUAUUUUAUGAGAAAUGUGAGGCACAGGGAUUCAGUGACGAGGCCUAUAACAGAUGCUAAGAAGUACGAGCGAUACAGUCAGGCGUGAGGGGAAUGUGAAGAGGGAAGGUCCCCUGGGAGGAGGUUAGGGAGCAGCCCUCUGGGCCACCCUUCCAAAGUCUUGCCCUCAAGAGGGACUUUAGGACAUUCACUAGACAGUCAGAGAAGAAUGACUGACUCUUGUUUGGGAACAGGGAGCAAUCAGGACAAGGAAGACAAGCUGUACUGAGACUACUGGCUACAGAGAUAAGUAAAAAACGUCAGAUGGAUAAAGUGUGAACGAUGACACACAGCUAGCUACCUCAGGUACAGGGAGACAGAGCUCGAAGCGUGCAGAUUUGUUAAACACCCACGCCUCCCUGAACAGUACUGUGGUAAGGGCUCUGUUUUAUCUUGUGUUUACUUAUUUUUUAUACAACAUCCACAAUGCUCACAGUUGUUUUUUUUUUAGAAAUGUUUUAUUAUUUUACUUAUUCACUUUACAACCUGCUCUCUGCCCCUUCCCAGUCAUCCCCUCUCACAGUACCCCCCCAUUCCCUGCCCUUCUCCUCUGAGUGGGUGGGGGUCCCCCUGGGUAUCUCCUCACCCUGGCUCAUCAAAUAUCUGUGAGGUUAGGCUCAUCCUCUCCCACUGAGGCCAGACAAGACAUCCUAGCUAGAAGAACAUACUUCACAUGCAGGCAACAGCAUACUUAGUUUCUUAUUUUUGUUCCUCUAUAGAGUACAGACAGUGGAAAGAACUAUGGGCUAUAGUUGGCUGCCUUUCUGUGCACAAUGUGACUUGCUGUGUCACCUUGAAGCCAAGCAAGUACCUCUAGGACACCAUGAAGCAACGUGAAUUACAGUGGUCCCUGUGAUGCCCACGAGGAGAUUUUAGUAUAGUGACUCCCGUGACACCCCUAAAGUCAUUAGAGCACAGUGGCCCCAUGUGCGUGAUGGCUUCUAUCAGCUUGAGCAAACUUGGACUAUUUCUGGAAGACUUGGGUAAGAGGAGGACUUGGUGUCAUUUAGUAGGUGAAUGGAUAAGACCCAGUUGGCUGUGGAGUUUUCCGUCUGGAGUCUCAAAGAGAAAGGGUGAGGAUGUGUGUGUCUUCAUGGGGUGAAGCAAGCUAGGCUGCUUCCCACGGCUGAUGGGAGGCCUGACACCCAUGUUUCCACAGCUGUAAGAAGGAUGUGCUCUAGUUUUUAGCCAAGGCCCUGGGUUUGCAAUCAGGCCUGGAACAGUGGCCAUAGAAAAGGCAAUCAGAAGCAAUGAGCUGUGUGCCCCCGUUUUUUUUUUUUUCUGGAUGAACACUCCAUUUAAUAAGCCCAAGAAAAAAACCCCGGAAACUGGAAAGAUAAAGAAAGGGCCAUUAGCUGUCCGUGCUCACCACAAAUGUGAUGUCUUUUUUGUAAUCACAGGAACUGUCACCUGAGAACAUAUGUUUCUGUCUCCUGAUGCAUUCUCCAGGGAGGGAGGCUGCUUCCAGGGGACACAUCAUGUAGUUACAGGGUGACCAGAAGAGAGGAGAAAGAGGAAGGUAAUAGCAGUGGUCCUGGAGAAAGAUGAUGGCAGUCUAGGGAGGAAGGAUGAAUGUUAGGACCCCGUGAAUGUCUAUUUCUUAGCUGGGGAUGUAACAGGUGAUGGUACGAGGUACCAGAGAGGCAACCAUGACCACAAAUAUAUCCCCUUAUCUGUUCAACUACAGAGGAUUUUGGGAAAGGUUGCUUCUUUUGGCCUCUCAUCUCUAGGGAUGAGAAGAAUCCAGCCCAACUCCUCCCAUCCCAGACCCUCCCUACCCCCGCCAAGGAAGAGCCUGUCACAGGAGAAGGAUAACACUCCCGUGUCCAAGUCUUCAUUUCACUUGCAGCUCGGCACUAAUCCAAUUGCUGCCUCUAACCUAAUUCUCCAUUGUUGCUAGAGUCCUUUGCUUUGCUGAUAUUAAAACUCUUUUCAUUUAAUUGUGCACAAGAUAGAUCCUCCUUGGCCAUCAGGUGGUAAAUAUAGAAUAGCUGAUGUGUAGCUCUAAUUUCUUCCCUGGCAGGCCUCCUGCAGCUCUGAGUAAUUGGGGACCACAAUAUUCUGAAAGGAAGGAGACAGGAAGGGAGAGCAGGAAGAGGCCUCUGCCUGACAUUAUCAGAAGGUCACAGGUAAAAGGCGUCUGCCCAUGUCUAUAGGGUCAGCUGCUUUUCCCCUGACUUUAGUAUGUCACAUGAUGACUAGAACCCUUAGAUGCACAAGAAUCUAGAAUUUCUGAAGCAAAGGUGAUUACGGGAUGUUGUUCCAUUGUCCAGAAUGUAAGGGACCAUAUUAUCCUCCCCAAGAGUUGGGUAAUAAGUCCCUCAUUCUCAUUCAAGGGUAGAUACCCCUGGUCUCUGUGCAAGGUCACCAAAGAGCCACACAAUAUCAUAGCUCUUUUAUUCUCUAAGGCCCCAAGUGAUGAUGAACUGUAAUCUUGUUUGGUAAUCACAAGGUUUCCCAGCAAGUCAAGGAAAGGGGAGAUAUCAGUGCAGAUGUCUUGAUUUCCAGGUCGGGGAGAAAGUGUAUGGAAGGUGGGACCACUGUGUGUUCCCAUAGGUAGGGAGGGACAGUACAAUGCAAGAGGCUCCAGGUGCCCUUAGCAUGCUCCGAGUUCUUUCCCAUUCACCCAGAAGAGUGGGGCUCCAGUGUCAAUCACUGAUCUAGUUUAGGAUCACAGCCCCCUGUAGAGGAAGAAGGAAGCAUCCUUGGAUGAACCACUGGUCAACAGGCAGGGACCUGCUUGGUUGUGACUACAGCUUCCUGGAUACUCGUGCCUUCCUGAUUCCCCUAGGCUCUGGAAAAUACAGCAAUCUCCUCCGUUUUCUCAAGGAGAGUGACAGCUUUCUUUGGGUCAGUUGCUAACUCCCUGAGCUUCUAGGGUCAUCCCGCAAGACCAUGGGUGAACCUGGGUUUUUAGACUGUCCAGUUUCCCACCAGAAACUUCCCUGCACUGCAGUUCACUGGGUUCUCCUAUCACCUCUGCCCUUUAAGAGCUGGUAAAAACAUUUCUCCCAGGCUGGGUCCUAGGCUACCUUUGUUCUCUCCAGCUUCACAGUGAGAUAUGGAUCUAGCAUUUGAUGAGGCUCCUUUUUCCUGAAAACCUAGGGAUCCUUGAGGGCCCUUUCCUUAAGGGCCCUGUUACCUUCGAAUCCUCAGGCAGGUUUUCCUAACCAGACUCCAGCACAGCACAUCUCAGCAAGGAUCUGCCUCUCCACUUCUCCACCUGUUGCUGACCCAGGACUCUCAGGACAAAAGGAGAAGACUCUCAGGGGUCAAGUAGCCAUAAAACCCUCUCAACUAUGGUCCUGAAGACACCAAGGUGCUUUCAAAGACUCUAUCCUGGAUUGGUCCCCACUGAUGCAUAUCUCAGAUUCUAGUGCCAAGCAUUUUAGCUUGCAGGUGAAUCACCCUCCUCGACUUUACAUUUUCAGAACCAGGAUCAGCUGGGCACAUGAUGGCUGGAAAUACUGGCCCAGAUGGUCUACUCACAAGUGUAUCAGGGCCAGACUCAUCAUAGCUCUCAGAUCCUUUCGACUCAGACAAGGAAAACUGAGGCCAGGGACCUAGUCUAGAAGGUAUAGUCACUGAGCCUCCUGCAUAACAUCCUAAGGAUCUUAAAAUUUCAGAUUCUGAUCUAGGAUCAGAUUUCUGUUACUGCAGUAGAACACUGACGGACAGUUUACAAAAACAAUGGUCAGAACCAUAGGAAUCUAACUCCAUCUCCACCCUCUACCAGCUGGGUGACCUCUCACAAGUUGCCUAACCUCUCUGGCCAUCCGUUUCCUGAUCUAAAAUAUGAGGAUUAUAGUGGUAUCUGUCUCCUGAGGUGGCCUGAGAUGCUAUAGAGAUAGCGUUUCCAAAGCCCAGCACAGCAUCUGGCAAGAGGCACAUGAUAAUUAAUUACCUCACACUUCCCCUCAAACCAGUGCAAACCAUAAUGAGCACUAGCGAUUCCAGCAACCACCAAGCAAGCAUUUAAUUUAUUGUCUUGGAAAACGGAAGGGCCCGUAUCAAGGGACUCUUUGGAUGGCGUUUGCAGAAAGAAGGAAUGCACAGAUAUCUUUUCCUCCUCCACAGAGAACCAGGAAGGGGGGGGUGCAGAUUCACUCUGUCCCUCUUCAAACUGUCUACAGGAAGCAGGGGAGGCACAAAGUUAGACCACCACUGGCUUCCCCCUGGGGGGCUUCCAAAAGUCAGGGAUGCCUUGACUUCUGUAUGCGUGAGUUUCUUGUUUUGUUUUUUUUUCCCUACUGAUUUCUACUGCAUAGGGGGAGCUUCUCAGGAAGCCUUGGCAGAGUGCUAAGCAAAGAUGUGAGUUCUUCCCAGUGAUGGGAAUAGAGGGACCUCCCUUGCCUAGCACAAAACACUAAAGGAGCAUCAGGAGCUCAGAACAGUAGCUCUCCUUGUUCAUGGAUCAUCCUAUGCUUCAAAAUAAACUUACGUAUUGGGCAUAGCAUAGUAAGAGAGAGACAAACAACUAUGAAUAAAAACCAGCCACAGCAUACUUCAAUAAAAGUUGCAAGACCAUAGUCAUUUUCUCUGUCAGUAUGUCUUAAUGUAUUGGGCUCACAUAUUCUGUGAUGCUGUGGGUGACAUGAUGUCCAGGUGCCAAGAUGAAAAGAAGGGGAUGGUCCUGGAGAGCCUGCUAGACUGUGAGGAGAGAGGGUUCUGGAAGGCAAACCAUGUGAUGCUACGAGAGUGGAUCUGAUAGCCAAUAUGGCUGUUCAGUGGCUAGUAGGCCAGUGGGAGUAUACACACAGUGGACAUGAUAGACCAACGGAUGGUCCCUGGUUCCUGGUUCCUGCUGGUGAGUGUGUAUGGAUCUUGCCAGUAUUAAUGUAAUCACAUUCCCCAGAAUAAGUUGUUUAGUUCUGAAAUUUUCCACUUAAUAUUUUAGAUUGUGGUUGAAUAGAAGUAACUGAAAUCAAAGAAAGCUCAAGGGAGGGCUAUUAUAAUAUUUUAUUAACAUCGUGUAUUAAAAGAUUUAAAAUUAGUUUUAAAAAUCCAUGAAAACCAAAGCAUCAAACUUUUAAGCAGAAAGACGUCAAUCUUGGAUCUGUGGCCUCUGAAAGCAACUGCCUUCUGCCUAAUGUGCCUGAUCUUCAGGAUUAACUCUUUUGAGGCCAGUGCUGCCUGUGGCUCUUAGAAUCCAGACUUCUGAGAGCUCCACAGUAGCUCAGCUGUGAGAGGCUGGGAUGCACCCAUGCCCUCUGCUUUGAAGGAUGAAAGGAGAGAAGGGCAUUUAGCUGCAGAGAAGACUGGGAUGCAAUCUGGAAGGAAGUUACCUGCAAGUGAACAGGCGAGACUCUGCCAAGGGGCCCCAACAUCUGCUUCCCUGCAUCUAUCUAUGGGACUCUUACUGUGGCUCACUUUUGUACAGAAAUGUAAGGAACUAUGGAUUGAUGCUGUAAAUGCUGUCAUCGAUGCUGUAAAUGAAGCUAUGCUGUCGUCGAGGACACGGUGAGCCAGUGUUUCCCACUCCAGACAUCAGGAGUCCUCUCUGCUGGUGACCUUUGUGACUUCCAGGUCCAGUCCAGUCUUCUCAGUCAUCUUCACAAUCAUCUAGUCUGAGAGGUCUUUCCCUCAAGCACACAUUUGAGACCUGUGUGCUGAGCUGUGGUGUAGCCGCACAGUCUUGAAUUUUCAACUAGCAUCAGCACACAUUCAAAGUUAAGUUGUACCAAAAGGCCAGAGUGAAGUGGGCAUUGCAAAUGGGUCCGUUUUCUCCAGGGCCAGUCUCACCUCUAGGCUGCGGUCACCCUUACUUCUUUUGGAUCUUUCCUCCCUUAUUUAGUUCCUCAGUACAUAGUAGGUGUAUGCAUGGUUUCAUCAUUUAUUUUUUGCUUUGUUCAUUCAUUCUUCCAUUCAUUUACCUUGUUAUGGCAAAUAUGACUUAACUUCCUCAUGUCCUUUCUGCCCCCUUUCCCUCCCUCUUCUCCACUAGCUAUCUUGCCAUUGAAUAAAAGCAACUAUUGAGUCCAGUUGUACCUUGGCGUUCAUUCUCCUUUAUCCAAUGCUCGUUUUCCCUCAAAUUAAAUGUCCCCUUUCUUGUUGCCUGAUGCCUUUUGUCUAGGACCCUUCCUUCCAAAUCGUUAGUGUCUGUCUCCUUUCCUUCACAUGUGUCUGCCUCAUUCAUGUCCUCUAUUCUGGUUUGGAGCUGCAGUUUGCUGGGGUUGACACCCAGGCAUGUCUUAGAGCACCGAGCCUCUUCAUGCCACAGCCCCUUUCCUGCUCCCCUCCGUUAAGUUCUACAUGCUCUGGAUCUCUUUUCUUCCCCCUCCUUGGUUUGGGCCCUUGUUUCAGUGGCACACUGCCUUCCAGAGCACCUGAGGACAGAACACCC